UGUUCUAUUGUCGAAUUAAAAUUAAUAUAUUGUUUAAAAUAAGUAUGAAGUUGAAAUAUUUUUUUUUAUAAAAUUAUCAAAAAAAUGUUGUUUUAUAAUUUUGUGAGAAAAUUUUUAAGAGAAAAGUUAAAUAAUUUAUUAAAAAAGUGUUUAAAGUUUUGCAAAAUGUUAUUGCAAUUAUUGGUCUGCAGCCGGUCGCUGUUUUUCUUUUGUUUGGCCGUUCUUUUUUUUAAGAGAGAAUAUUCCAAGGCGGGAAAAUGUGGAUGAUAAAGUAAAUAAAAAGAGCAAAAUCAUGAAAUCCAAAGACAAUAAAUAUUGGGCGCUGCAUUCGAAGACUUUGUGUGAAAAAGGGAGGAAUCCACAUUUGACCAACGAAUUGAAGAUAAAUUAAAUAAAAGAAGCAAAAUCAUAUAAUCCAAAGGCAAUAAAUUUGUGUAAGAUAAAGUAAAUAAAAAGUGCAAAAUCAUGUAAUCCGAAGGCAAUAAAUAUUGGGCGCUCCAUUGGAAGACUUUGUGUGAAAAAUGGAGGAAUCCACAUUUGACCAACAAAUUGAAGCAAGAGUGAGCUGUUGUUGUUGGCUUAAAGAUGAUUUAAUAUUGUGUUAAAGAAAAAAUAAAUAAAUAAAUAAAUAAAUAAAUAAAUAAAUAAAUAAAUAAAUAAAUGGAAAAUCAUGGAAUCUAAAGACAAUAUGUUUUGGACAUUACAAUGAAAAGAUUUAAGCAUAUUAUACUUAACAUUUAGUACACCCUAUACUUGAGUGAAGGAGGGCGAAUCCAUAUCUGACCAACGAAUUGAAG
RNAcentral lists this long non-coding RNA (797 nucleotides) under Lucilia cuprina (Australian sheep blowfly). Its description in RNAcentral is "uncharacterized LOC124419006, transcript variant X3". The record is from RNAcentral. Lineage: Eukaryota; Metazoa; Arthropoda; Insecta; Diptera; Calliphoridae.